RNAcentral lists this ribosomal RNA (231 nucleotides) under uncultured bacterium. Its description in RNAcentral is "partial 16S ribosomal RNA". It matches the Rfam family "Bacterial small subunit ribosomal RNA", at positions 114 to 334 of the family's 1533-position model. The record is from RNAcentral.
CGCGUGGGCAACCUGCCCCCGAGUUGGGGACAACCAGCCGAAAGGCUGGCUAAUACCGAAUAUGGUCCCCCAUCGCAUGAUGGGGAGAUUAAAGGUGGGGAUCUUCGGACCUGCCGCUUGGGGAGGGGCCCGCGUGCCAUCAGCUUGUUGGUAGGGUAAUGGCCUACCAAGGCUUACGGCUAGCUGGUCUGAGAGGAUGAUCAGCCACACUGGGACUGAGACACUGCCCAG